Molecule: transfer RNA, 74 nt
Filed under: Cardiobacteriaceae bacterium
Lineage: Bacteria; Pseudomonadati; Pseudomonadota; Gammaproteobacteria; Cardiobacteriales; Cardiobacteriaceae
Description: tRNA-Arg
Rfam family: tRNA
About the family: Transfer RNA (tRNA) molecules are approximately 80 nucleotides in length. Their secondary structure includes four short double-helical elements and three loops (D, anti-codon, and T loops).
Source: RNAcentral
CCGUCCGUAGUUCAGCUGGAUAGAACGUCGCCCUCCGGAGGCGAAGGUCAGGGGUUCGAAUCCCUUCGGGCGGG